GCACUCAAUUCUGUUCUACUGGACCCUUUACGGGCUCACUGCUCUAAUCGAUCAAUUCGCUGGAACAGCUCAAGGAUACAAUCUCUGCAAGUGUGGCCUCCUUGGCGUAUUUUUCUUCCACGCGGUCCGCUCCAACUUGUCCGCAGUGCCCGCCACCUGGAAAUUCGCGGAGAAGCUUGAAGUUCUGACGUCACUGGUUUCACAGCUGGAGACUGAUGGUUUUCUGCGGAACUACGAUGCGAUGACACCAACGAUAACCCAGUUUUCUGAGGAUGACUCGCUGCAAUACAUAUUCCCAGUGGAAGAGAAUUUGGAAAUGAGCACAGCGUGCAGUUUCGUGCCGUCACUUGAUAUGCAGAGCACCCAGAAUCCGUCUCCAUCUACUUUGAAAACUAUGAAAAUCGAGGAAAGCCGGAAUUUCCAGACCAUGUCGGCGAUGACGUUGGCCUGCGGUGGAGCUGCAGCAGAUAUUGUCACCGUGCCGGCCGACCGGAUCACGUUUGCCGCUGGCAAGCUGGAAGAAGUUAUUCGAGUCACUAACGUCUCGCAAUCGCAUAUUAUGUUCGCUUUGAAGGUGAGGUCUCGGUUUGGCGCGUAAAAUUGUAUGUAUUGUGGUUUUUGUGCAAUUCACCGACUUCAAUGCAUCGGACUUUACGCACAAGUUGGUACUUUGUGAUUUUCCAAACAUUUUUGCUGAAAAAAAAAAUUGAAAAUUCGAAUUUGCGUGUAAAAUUAACUCGCAAAUUAUUACGAUAUUAUCAAAAUAUAUAAACUGACAUGUGAAACGUGGCUUAUUUUUUAUUUUGUUUUUUAUUUAAGCGCCUCCCAUUUUUUUAAAUGAGCUAAUAAAUAAAAAUUUUAACGAAAGGCCAGGAAUGGGAGGAGCUUAAAUAAAAAACAAAAUAAAAAAUAAGCCACGUUUCACAUGUCAGUUUAUAUAUUUUGAUAAUACUUAACACAAAAUUCUGAGAAUGCUUAUGGCGCAACAUAUUUGACGCGCAAUAUAUCUCGUAGCGAAAACUACAGUAAUUCUUUAAACGACUACUGUAGCUCUUGUGUCGAUUUAACGGCUCGAUUCUAGAUAGAAAUUUUUAGAUAGCUAAUUAGAUAUGGAUUUUCGAAAUAUCGAUAGAAUAUUAAAAUUAAGCAAAAAAGUAAAUAAUUCGAAGAAACGAAUUGUUUUCAUUUCGAAAACGAAACCCGUAUAUCGACACAAGUGCUAAAGUAGUCCUUUAAAGAAUUACUGUAGUUUUCGCUACAAGAUAUUUUGCGCGUCAACAUUCUAGAAAUCUAGAAAUUUCUAGAUUUCUAGAAAAUCUAGAAAUUUCUAGAAAUUUCUAGACGCAUUCUAGAAAUUUUGUGCUCCCGUAAUAUACACAAAUUGAAUUGUAUAAUGUAAAUUGUUUGAAAACCGAUAAUUUCAGACAAAUGCCGACGCCUACCUCAUCGCUGCUCCAACUUCUGGAGUUCUUCUGAGCGGACAAAGCAUGACAAUCCGUGUUGGAGUCACUGGCAACUACUUCGAUGAUUUUUCGGAUCCUGGAGUUUCCAUUGAUAAGGUUAUUUUAUAAUUCUAUUGAAUAAAACUUCAAUUUCCGAUUUCCAGCUCGCCAUCGACUAUGCUCUGAUCCCCAGCCGUUCCUACUCCAAAUUUUCCUCCGAGUUCUUCUAUUCCCAGAACCGACGUCGCCUCGCAAUUCGUGUGUUCUAUCAAUGAUUUGUCUCUUUUCUCGACUUUAUUUUAUUUAUUUUUGUAUUUGUAAAAAGCUUUUAUGAGUAAAAUUGUGUUUAAAUCAUGUUUUCCUGGCAUUUCUACUUCCAUGGGAGAUUUCGAUCCCUAAAACUGAGGUUUCAAACAAGCUGCAAGUACGCUCUACCGUACGAAGCCAUUUUCAAACGCGGGAAAUUGUUUCAAAAAUUAAUUUCGGAGAUUUCUUUUUCAUUUUUUCUGAUUUUCUCGGCCUGUUUCUUCAGUUUUCUUGUAAAAUUUACUGUUUAAUUAAUAAAAAUGUACAUUUUUCAGAAAAUGGUUGCCCAUCAGAAGGCGGAUUUCAAGUCGAAAUGGGCGAUGGUCGUGACUGUCAAUAACCUGAAUGACAAGAAGCGAGCCGAUUUGAGAGAAUUUUCCGAGUGGUUUAUCGAGACUUUGAGAUUGGAAGGAGCUUUUAUUGGUCACUAUUUCAAUUAUGAGGUUAUUAAGAGUUAAUAAUUAAUUAAUUAUAAAUGCAAUAAUUCCAGGCUGCACCGGUGACCAUCGUCGAGACUUUGCCAGGCAAUUUUGACUCAUGCACUAAUGCAUAUCAGAAGAUUCACAAGGUUUUGAUGGAUAAAUUAAAUAAAAUUCAAUUAAAUAAUUCUUCAGGAGCAUCCGCAGGUCGUCCUCGUCGUGCACAUUCUUCCACAGUCGCAGUCGAACGAGUACGAGUGGAUGAAGGUGUUGGCGUCGAGAUACGGAUUCGUCCGUCAGGGAUUGCUCUACGAUAACUGUGCCAAUCGUUUCCAAAAUGUGGAAACCGAUCAGAAUAGCGUGUUCCGGAACAUGUGCCAAUGGAUUUAUCGUAGCGGCACCGCGAUUGUGAGAAAUGAGGGAAAGUAAGUCGAAUUACAUUUUUUUAUUUAGCCAUUUUUUAUUUAAUUCCUGUGUGUUUCAGCGCGUGUGGAAUUCUCCAUGGAAAAGAUCCGAAACCGACGUUCGACAAGGUUCUCUUCAACAGCGAAGACAUCAAGGAUUCCGUUUUCAAAGUUCUUCACGCCGAAGAAGAGCCGAGAGGUGCGGAUCAGGAGAACAUGCUGAAGAUCAGUGGAUAUCCGGGGAUGCUCAACACGUUCGGCAUCGCACAACUUCUCACCCCAUAUCGUGUCAAUGGGAUCACCAUCACCGGCGCCCAGUCGGCCGUCGUUGCCCUGGAGAACAAGUUUCAAGUCUAUCAGGCCGUGCAGGAUUUCAACGGGAAGAAGCUCGAUCGCAAUCACAAACUUCAAGUUAGCAGCCUCGUCGUCUCGUCGCCAGCCGUUCCACUCGAGUGGCCAUCGCUCAAAAAGUCGAAGAAGCUCGUGGAGCAAGUGGGAAAGCCGAUCAGACUUUCGAAAGUCUCCUCUUAAAUGUGCCCCAAUUUGCUUAUAAGUUAUUUUUUUCUGAUUUCUGAUGAUCUUUCUUCGAUAUCUCGACCUUUACCGGUUUUUUUAAUCAAUUUGCUCAUAUUCCUUGAUAAAUAAUCUCUCCAUUAGCAUGUGCGAUUUUUUUUUCAUUUUAAUCUGUUAAAAUCGGGGCUCGAUUCUUGUUUUCGUUGGAGAGAAUUGUUCUUAAAAUAAGUAAUUUUUUAGAUGGAAGAAGGCAGCUCCUCACAGCCAUCCGACGACUAUGAGCCGAGAUAUAAAAUUUGUAAGAUUUUCCAGGUCUCGACACGACAAUUUGUGUUCAUUACAAAUAGGUGUGCGCCUUUAAAAAAGUACUGUAAUUCAGAGAAGAUUUUCUGCGGAAUUUUGAUAGAUUUUUCAGAGUUUUUCUCUCGAUUUGUUGAAAUUCAAGUGUUUUAUUGUUAUACUAGAACAUUAAGCAUAUUUUUACUAAAAAAAAACAAAAAAAAUCGAAUAAAAUUAUGUGUCGAGACCGGUGUUCGGCCCAAAACUUCCACAAAAAAUAAAAUCUCGAAAAAACUCGUGGCGAGACCCAAUUUUCUUCCAGCACGACCAAAUCAACAAAUGCGACUUCCUAUAAUUCGGCCUAAAAUCCCGCCGAAAUCCUCAGGCCCACCGGUUCGCCUGAUCACCUCCGCCACUCCACAACCGAUAGCGCCGAGCACAUCGAACCCGCGGCCGCUGAUCUCACUGCUCGAUCGGACAGAGUUUCGCGAUCGGAAUCGACCGGCGCUGGUGCCGACGAGAAUGAUGGCAAAACCGAAGAAGUGCUAUUACACAGAGAUGGCCGAUAUUCGAAAGGAAUUCGGAAUACCCGAAGCGCUGGACACUGUGAAGCCGAACACGAUGAGCGGCGUUGGUCAGUGCUCGGAUGAAAUUUAUUUAAAAUUCGAAAAUUCCAGUUUUUCGUAUAAUUUUCCACUACCGCUGCUACCGAUACGGGACCAGGUCUCGGCACGAUAACUCAAACGGAUGUGCGCCUUUAAGUUAACUUUAAAUCGGUUUUUCAGUCUUUUUUUAACGAAAAACUGGAAAAAGUACCUUUAAAGGCGCACACCGGUUUUUGUUUACAAAAAAUUGUCGUGUCGAGACCUUUUCGCUCAAAAUUUCGAAUUUUUUCAGCACUGGCGUCAAAGCUCAACCUCCUACAACGUCUACGCGGCGAGAACAAAUUCCUGCGCGAAUCGAUCGAAACGAGACAAUCCACGUGCGACGAGCGGCUCGAUCAAAUCGAAGGGUCUCGCAACGCGACCGCCGAAGCCGCACAAUUCUGCCAGGCGCUCCGAGACGAUCUGAACACCGUGGAGAUGGAUAUCGCCGGACUACGGGCUCAGGAAGACACAUGAUUUAUUUGGAUUCUGCGGAUUACAAUAAAGUACAUUUAAUAAAGAACAAUAAACCACCGUUUUUUUUUUGGAUUUAUGUAUGUGUCAAAAGUCGUCAGAGAGGGAUACCCAGUAGAUAUGUUGAACAAGGGGGGGGGGGGAAUAAAAAAAAGAAUCUAAUAAAACAGAAACGCAAUAUAAAGCACAAUUAUUAGAAAGAACACUGAAAAAAAACAAUAAAUUAAUUUAUAUUAGCACUAAUAUUUAUUGCUGAUACUUUUUCUUUUGAGCUUCGUACACCUUCUCCAGCUUUUUGAUCUGACUCUUCGUGAUCUGAAAUAAUAUUUAAAUUAAAUAAUAUCUGUAAAUAAAAUAAUUUCAGAGGCACCACGAAUUCAAGAUUGGUGGAAUUGCGGAUCUACGUUCUCCGGAUCUCGAAGAAAAACGCCGUUUAUUUGGAAAUUUUCUUCUGGAAAAUACGCGUAGAUCCGUAAUACCACCAGAUCUUGAAUCCGUGGUGACUCUAUUUCGUAGUUUCGUCGUUUUACCUCCGUUCCAUCAGCCAAAUGAGUCGGUACACCUCGUUCAUCAAACUUCGAGUAUUUCCCGACGUGCUCUCCCUGCUUGAACAGCUCUUCCGGCUUGAUCUUCUUCGCUGCCGCCUCCUUAUCAGCCUUCUCCCGAGCCUUUUGCUCCUUGUCCGCCUUUUCCUUAUCCUUCCGCUUCUUCUCGGUGUCCUUCUGCUCUUGCUCUCGGAGCAAUGUGGCACGAUCCACAAGCUUCACAACGGUCUGACCAUUUCGAUCCUCGAGGCGAACUCCGAGUUCGGUGAGGGUCUUGUCACGAAGAGUGUCGCAUUCCUGAAAAAUUUUGAAUUAUUUUAUUUAUUUUAGAAAAAAUUAAAGAAAAAAUAUAAAACCUCAAGAAUUCCAUUAACUUUGUGCUCUUUUGCGAUAAGCCGAACUUUUUCGCGAAAUUGAGCAAGAGCAUCCAGGUACGGCAUGACGACGGCUUCCUUGUUAAACGAUGUUGAAGCUCCUUCGCCAUUGCACUCAUCCUCGGAAACGAAUCCGAUCUCCUGGUUGCUCUGUGGAAUUGCUCCAAAGAUCUUGAGCAGAUUUGUGAUGUAGGCAGCGAUAUUUCUGAGCAACAGGCAAUUCGGAACGUGUCCCUCCUUCUCCUUCUCCACAAUAUAGGCAUUUCCAAGGGAAAUCAGCUCUCGGAACUUCUCGAUCACAGAUCUGGUAUCCACCGAAUCACAAAGCGCCUCGUGAACUUCCGACUUGAGCUUUCCAAAUUCCUCCAUAAGCUUCAACUCUUUUCCUUGGAAUUUUUGGUAUCCUUCUGAUCGAUCUGGCUUGUAGUGUCUUCUCAAAAAGUCCUUGACGAGAAGGAAGAACUCGUUGGUGAUUUUCUCGAAUUGAAGGGCUCUUUCCAUAGUUGAAGAGCUGAAAAAUCGUUUUUUUUUUUGAAAUUUAGAAUAUAGAAAAAAACGCUCGAAGAAUGUCUGAGAGUUGAAAAUUGCCAGAAAUCACCGGCAAUGUUCACUUUAUAGGAAAAUUUGGAGCACUUUUCCAACUGUUCCAACUGAAAUAAAAGCUAUUUUCACAUGUACCAAGUCAGGGGUAGGCGGCAAUUUUUUUUUUGCCGACAAAUAUGGCAAAUUGCCGUUUUUCCGACAAAUUCGGCAAUUUGCCGGAAAUGUUUAAUUUUGGUAAUUUGCCGAUUUGCCGGAUAUUUUUAAUUCCGGAAAAUUGCCGGGUUACCGAUUUGCCGGAAAUUUUUAAUUACGGCAAUUCGCCGGAAAUUUCCAAUUCCGGCAAUUUGCUGAUUUGCCGGAAACUUUCAAUACCGGCAAUUCGGACGUUAGCCGGUUUACCGAUUUGCCGGAAAUUCGAAUUCCGGCCAUUUGCCGGAAAUUUGCAAUUCCGGCAACUUGACGAUUUGCCGAUUUGCCGGAAAAUUUCAAUUCCGUCAAUUUGCUGAUUUGCCGGAAAUUUCCAAUUCCGGCAACUUGACGAUUUGCCGGAAAAUUUCAAUUCCGGCAAUUUGCCGGCCAACCGAUUUGCCGGAAAAAAUCGUUUGCCGUCCACCCUGGUUCGACUUCAUAAGAAAAGUGUCGAAACAACUAGAUUUUUGUAGAAUUGCCGCCCAAAUGAGACUUCAAAAGAUUGGAUUUUUCAUUUUUUCGCGAUUUUCUCCGAAUUUUUGUGGGUUUGCCUAAUCCCAACCUAUAAUCCAGAACAUCAGCCCAAUUAUGCAUCAAGAAAAGAAGCCGAAGCUGUCUCGGAGUGUAAUCUUCAAGAGCCUUCCGGAUCGUGAUGAAGUUCUUCAACGAUUUCGACAUUUUCAUUCCUUGAAUUCGAAGAGUUCCACAGUGCAAAAAGUAGUUCACCCAGUGAGGAUCGUCGUAGUGAGCCUCGACUUGUGCAAUUUCAUUAUCGUGAUGCGGGAACUUCAGAUCGAAACCGCCAGCAUGAAUGUCGAGUUUUGAGCCGCAAAUCGCCGAGGACAUCACAGAGCACUCAAUGUGCCAUCCUGGACGUCCAUUUCCCCACUCGGAAGGCCAGAAUGGUUCUCCGUCUUUUGACGAUUUCCAGAGAGCAAAAUCGUUGGGGCUCCGCUUCGAUUUGAGCCUAUCAUCAGACAUACUCAGCUCUCCUUCACUCUCCUUCAUAUUCUUCAGCAGCUGCUCACUAUCCUCUCCAUAAGCUUCUGGCACCAAUUUCGCAUAGAAAUGCUUCGGAUUCUGCUCGAAAGCUUUCGUAUCAAAAUAGACACUUCCAUCUUCAGCGGCGUAUGCAUAUCCAUUGCUAAUGAUCUUUUUGACGUAGGUGAUGACUUCGGGCACAUAUUCGGAGACUCUGGUGAGCACGUCGACCGGGAGAACGUUGAGACGAGCCAUAUCGGCUAGGAACUCCUUUUCGUAGCUGAAAAAAAAAUUGAUUUUGAGGGUGGAAAAGGGAUUUUCAUUUAAAAAUCGAAGAAAAAAAGACUCAAAUUCAGAAAAACCAGAGUAGAAAACAAAAAAUCUAACUUGAAAUUCUGAAAAUUCGUCAACUUCGCCUUGUUGCAGCGGCUGGAAUACAGUUUUCAUCAUUUUUUUUUCACUUUUUAAUGCUUAAUUCGUUGAUUUAGGCACAUUUCAAGCCAACAGACACCCAAUUUCGGCGAUUUUUAGUGCAUGUCGGCUUUAAAUGGUCUAAAAAUAGCCUAAAUAUAAAUUCAACGAAUAAACUAUAUAAAUAAUCAAAAUAUGCGUUAAAGGAUGACAAUUCAAUAUAAUCUGUAUUCAAGUUGCUACAGCGAAGAUAAAUUGGCAAAUUUUCAGAUUUUAGCGAAUUUUGGCUAUUUUUCCGGCUAUUUUCUCUGUUUUUCUCAGAAUUUAAGGCCAUUUUCGCUGGAUUUUUGAAUCAAAAGCUUACGUCUUCGCGAGAUCAUCAAACACACUAUGAUCCCUCACAUCCUUUCCAUGAUUAUGAUCAAGCCACUCGGAGAGCACAUCUCUCGACUCAUUGAGCAGACGGCCUUUGGCUUCUUCAGUGGCAAUCGAGUCUUGAGCCUUCAUAGCUUCUUCCAGCGCACUCGAUUGCUGCUGAACCUUCUUUAUCAUCACUUCGAACAUCUUCUUCUUGUCCGGAUCCAUUUCAGUUUCGAAUUUCGUCUUGAAAUGUUCCAGCGCGGCGACAACGUCCUCGCACACUUUCAUCACAGGUGGAGCCUGCGAUUCGUUGAAGUACGACUUGAGCAGAUGGCUUUGACGAGCUCUUUUGAUGAUUUUAUCGUCCACAUCAGUGAUAUUCAUGAUAAAUUCCACAUCAUAUCCGAAAUAAUCCCUGAAGACUCUUCUCAAAAUAUCCAAAGAGAGAUAGGAUCGAGCAUGGCCCAUAUGCGAAGAAUCGUAGACUGUCGGACCGCAAAUGUACCAUCUGACCUGAAAAAUGUGAUUAUUUUCUGGGAAAAUAGUCGAAAAACUCACUCGUUUUCCUUCAUUCGGAACGAAAACCUCUUUCUGACGAGUCAAACUAUUGUAGACGGUCAGUUGAGGCGGUGGAGUCGCAUUUUUUGGCUGAUCCCAGUGUUUUUGCACGCGUUUGACGGCUACUGAAGUUAAAAUAUAUAUAUAUAUUAAAUGGCGAGUAGAGUUUGUGGGUAUUUUGCUUAAAUAGACUAAAACUGGUCCAAAACCAUCGAAUUUCAAAAUGAGACGUCACAAAAAAUUUCCAAAAGUUGUUUAUGGUCGGUCAAAAUUUCGAAAAAAAAAGAGCCAAAUUUUGCUAAAAUCUGAAAUUUUGCACACUUUUCUUUGUCACAGCCGCUGGAUUUUAGUUUUUCUGAAAUGACCACCUUUUAAUCCUGAUUUUGGUAAUUUAUCUCGCGGAAAUUCGCUGAUUGAGAUAGAUUUUGAGUCGAUAGGCAUCCAAUUUCGAUCAUUUUUGGAUGCCUAUCGGCCUAAAAGUUGUCUCAAUCAACGAAUUUAGGCGAGAUAAGUUACCACAAUUAGGAUUAAAGGGUGAUAAUUUCAGAAAAAAAAACUAAAAUCCAGCGGCUGUGACAAAGAAAAGUGCGCGAAAUUUCAGAUUUUUGCAAAAUUUGGCACUUUUUUUCCGAAAUUUUGACCGGCCAUAAAAAUUUUUUGGAAAGUUUUCGUGAAGUCUCAUUAUGAAAUUCGGUGGUUUUCGACCAGUUUUAGUCUAUUUAAGUAAAAUACCCACAAACUCUACUCCACCUUUAAAAAACUGCACCGCACAAUUUUGCAACCUUGCCGCACGGUUUUUCUUUUUUGUUGUUUUUUUUUAAAUUUCGGUUUUAAUUUUUAUUCCUUUCUUUUCGAAUUUAAUCCAAUUUAAUUUUCAUAAGAUUGUGAGAAUUAAAUUGGAUAACAUUUUCAUUCAAAAAGCAGAGAAAAUUCGAAACUUAUUCAAAAAUUGACAAAAAAAAAAGGGAAAACCGUAAAAUCACGCUCCGCCUCUAUUUCUUAAUUUAAAACCCAACCUGGUCUCAAAUUAGGAUCCAUAAUGCAGUGGUGAUGGCUUCGUAGUUGUAAUUUCGAGCAAUUCCAAGCGAAAAGCUGCGUCUGAUUGCGAUUAAAGCUCGCGAACAGCAGCACACGGACCAAGUUUUUCGAACGCGUCGUGCCGAAUUUUCGAACGAAAACGCCUAAAAAUGCGGUGGUUUUCGAUGAGUGGAGGAGAAGGACGAGAGAGUGGAGACAAGUGAAGAGACUGCAGACAGCUACGCAGCUGUUUGCAGUUCGAUGACAGAAAAUGAACGGAGAAUAAAUAUAUUUAGAGCUGUUGGAACGGAUAAACGGAUGAGGAGAGAUAGAAAAUCGGAUAAAAUGCUGUUUUCCGAGGAAUUUUACAUUUAAACAAAUUAAAAAUCGCUUCAAAUUCAGAAAACCACAGCCAAAAAAUGGUUUUUUUUUGAAAUUCCGAUUUUUUUUGGAUUUUUCGUAACAAAAUAUAUUUUUUAAAUGCAUCAGGUCCAUAAAAUUCAGAUUUUCAACGUCUUAGAAAACCAGUUCCCCUACCCGGAACUUGCGAACCUCUUUCCAGUAGCAUUAGCGAUUAUCUUAUCAAAAAAUGUCCAUAUCAACGUCCGCCGUCGCCUCGUUUUCGAUGCCUACGUGAGAAUUCUCAGAAAUAAAAAAUUGUGGGAACACACUGAAAUUAUUAUUGAAUUGCGGAAAAAAAAAAUGAAUUGAAAGUAAUGUCUCUACACACGGAAAGCCAAAUAACACUGACGAAAAGAGCGUUUUUGAUUACAUCAUCUCCACCCAGCUGACGCGCCGCUUUCGUUAUACUCUCUUUUUGCAACAUUUUCAUUUUCUCGUGGGGUGGAGGAGAGAAAAAAGAGUAAAAAAAGCAUUAUAUUAACUGCUGAUAAGCUUUGCAAUGGUUUUUCUUGUUUCAAAUUUCGAGAACAGGAGAUGAAUUUAAUCAACUUGGAAAAAAAACAUUGAACAUUUGAACAAAAGCGAGUGUUUUCCGCGCAAAAUGGUCACGACACUUGCUGCCAGCUGGCUGUUCCAAAAGUACUGAGGCUCCAAGUGCAUUUUCCUGGAAAACUUGGGCAAAAUCAUCCGAUUUUAUUCAAAAAAGCAAAAAGUAUGAUGCUUAUUGAAACGUGGACAGGGUUUGUUUGUUCAGACACGCAUGCAUCGAACACAAUAACGGAAUACACCCACACGGAAUCAGUCGUAGCCGCUUUUUUUUAUUGGAAAAUGUAUGAAAAUUUGGAAAUUGGAGGAAAAAUGCAAGAAAAAAUGAAGAAAAAAACAUUAGAAAAUAAAUAAAAAAAAGAAAAAUCCUCAGGUACGUGAAAUUGCGUAAGAUUUGGCGCCUUUUGUGCAAACACGUCUUCGAAAAUUUGAAUUUGAAAAAUAAUUUGAACAAAUUGUUUUUUUUUUGUUUUCUGAUUUUUCUAAACAUUUCCGUUUAAAAGAGUUUUCUUUUUAUCAAAAUGCAUUUUAUAUUUUAUUUGUUCUUCUAGAAGUAAAAUAUAUUCCUUUUUAUGGUGUAAGCUCGACAAUAAAUGUGUCUUUUGAAUUCAACGAUCUAACUAACUUUCAUGGAAGAUAUUUCAGAUGUAACGGGCCAUAAUGAGCGGUAGUGGGGAUGCAAAGCCCCCGAUUCUGAUUCUUUGAGUAUACUCAUCACAUUGAUUGCUACUUUUGGGGAUUCCAUCAGAAACAUCCUUGCGUGGAGCCAACUCAGCCUUUCUAGAAAUCAAGCGAUACUAGUUCCGUGUAUGCGUUGUUGGACAGCAAAAAUGUCAUUCUCCGUGCUUUCUAGGCGCUAAAAAGUUUGAAUGCGCGCCGGAAGUUGAAAACUACAUCUCUCCUUGCAGAUAUCUUCGCGUCGGCAUCGAUUCAAGGACAAGGAUGCUGGGGAUUCGAGGAUUUGGACGAAUUGGACCGAGGGCGUCGGCUAUUGGAUGGAUAUUCUAUGGAGUACGUUCUUGGAUUGUUCGCUGUAUUGUAAGUCGUUCAGACAGCCGAAAAUGAGCAAAUUUGAGUGAAUUUCAGUGUGAGAAAGGAGUUGUCAAGAUCAGCGAGCUUCGUAAAAUCUACCAGUCGACCGUCGUCAAGGAUAGAUAAGUUCAGUUCAGACCUCUGUCGGGAGUCUUGAAAGCUGUCAAUGAGAAUUUGCUGCAUUGGCAGGGAUGGAAUGUAAGAUUUCAUAGUUUUUCAAUGCUUAUUUUUAAUUUAUCUUUUAAAUCUUCAGGCAGUCAUCCAAGACGAUCGCCUCACCUAUGUGAAUGUGAAGGGAGAUACACCGAAUGAUGUGAGAGCAAGCGAGACCGAGAGAACAUUGGCAAUUCUCAAGAAUAUUUAAUUUUUUGAUCUGCUCUCUCGUCCUUCUCUCAUCGAAAACCGCAUUUUUAGGCGUUUUCGUUCCAAAAUUCGGCACGACGCGUUCGAAAAACUUGGUCCGUGUGCUGUUCGCGAGCUUUAAUCGCAAUCAGACGCAGCUUUUCGCUAGAAACUGCUCGAGAUUACUACUAAGCCAUCGCCACAGCAUUAUGGAUCCUAAUUUGAGACCAGGUUUGUUUUGAAUUUAUCGAUCCGUGAAAAGCAGCGAUGCACAGAUACAGAUGCGGAGCAUAAUUUCUUCCAAUAAAGUUUUGGUUUUACUUGUUUUAUUUUAUUUAUUAGAAUUAAAAUCUUAUUCCCAGUUCAUUCUUAUCAGAUUAUGAGAAUAUUUGGUUGUCGAAACAUGAAAUAUUCUCACAAUCUUAUGAUAAUUUAGUUGGAAAACAUUUUCAUUCGAAAAAGAGAACAAAAAAUUAAAAUCGAGAUUUUUUCUUGAAAAAAAUUUAAUAAAAAAAAGAAAAACAGUGCGGCAAGGUUGCGAAAUUGCGCUCCACCUAAAUUUCUGUGCGAUCCUUAUAUUUCAACAGUAUUUAUAAAUAUAAUUAAAGUAUAUUUCAAUUUCAGUAGCCGUCAAACGCGUGCAAAAACACUGGGACCAACCAAAAAAUGCGACUCCACCGCCUCAACUGACCGUCUACAAUAGUUUGACUCGUCAGAAAGAGGUUUUUGUUCCAAAUGAGGGAGCACGAGUGAGUUUUUCUACUAUUUUCCCAGAAACUAAUGAUAUUUUGCAGGUUGGAUGGUACAUUUGCGGUCCGACGGUCAACGAUUCUUCGCAUAUGGGCCACGCUCGAUCCUAUCUUUCUUUGGAUAUUCUGAGAAGAGUCUUCAGGGAUUAUUUCGGAUAUGAUGUGGAAUUUAUCAUGAAUAUCACUGAUGUGGACGAUAAAAUCAUCAAAAGAGCUCGUCAAAGCCACCUGCUCAAGUCGUACUUCAACGAAUCGCUCCACCUGUGAUGAAAGUGUGCGAGGACGUUGUCGCCGCGCUGGAACAUUUCAAGACGAAAUUCGAAACUGAAAUGGAUCCGGACAAGAAGAAGAUGUUCGAAGUGAUGAUAAAGAAGGUACAGCAGUUUUGCAGGGUAUCUCUCCUUGACACGAGUUCGAUGGACCCCCGAAUCGGUUAUCUGGCCGUCUUGAAAGGUGAACAUUGUGCAAUAUUAUCUUAAUUUUACUAAUUUUGUUUUUUACAGGGCGUGCAAUUGCUGCUGCUCAGGCCUCAGAACUCAACGCAUUCUAAGCUGCUGCAAACGACCUUCAUCGUAUAUCUGCACAAAUCGAAGCGGUUCAGCUCGAAGACGAUAUCCACGUGUAAGUUUUUUUAGAGCCGGGCAAUUGGAUGGGCCUUCGAAACUAUGUGUGAACUGCACAUCUUGCUCAUCUGAGUUAAUGCUCCAUUCAAUUCUCUUAAUCCUAAAAAUAAUUACAUUUGACAUUUGAAACCGUGCCCUGCCUUGCAAGAUCAACAACUCACGCUCAGUUUCGGAGGCGUAGUCAUUGCAAUCUCUCGCAACCGACACUCUUCCUGACUCUUCUUUUAAACUGAUUUCAAUAUUCAAAUUUUCAGAUAUGUUCCACCAAAUCAAAACGGGGUGUUGGAUCGAUUCCGCGAUGCACGACAAACCGCUGCUGGUAAUAAACUAGGUCAUCACAAAAUUUAAUACACUUUCUUACGGAGGCCGCAUUCGCAGCUUGUGCCGCAGCUGCUGGAUUCGCCCAUCAUGCUGAGCCAGCCCAACAGGAGCUCUUCUAUGCCGUUCGGGAGACCAUUUGUCAACGUAUACAAGCUAUGGAACCGCGCCGGGGCGGGCUAUAAAUGAAUCUCAUAUUCGAAUAAACAUUUGUUGAUAGAAUUUUUACCUUGUCUGCACUGACCAUGUGCUUGUACUUGAUCAAUGAAGAGUAUGCACAGGUUAUUGAUUUUUUGCAGCCGCCAUCUAGUUUUCUGUUUUCAGACAAUUUGCACCGCGCUGACGUCAGUGCCGCCGGCUCUUUUUUCGUAUCGAGUUUUGUAAAUCAGAUGACUGAUAAGCAGGGAUAU
RNAcentral lists this small RNA (13881 nucleotides) under Caenorhabditis elegans. RNAcentral's name for it is "Unclassified non-coding RNA Y23H5A.12". The record is from RNAcentral. Lineage: Eukaryota; Metazoa; Nematoda; Chromadorea; Rhabditida; Rhabditidae.